CCUACGGGAGGCAGCAGUAGGGAAUCUUCGGCAAUGUGGGGAACCCUGACCGAGCAACGCCGCGUGAAGUCAGAAGGAAUUCGUUCUGUAAACUUCUGUUAUAAAGGAAGAAAGACGGAUGGAGGAAAUGACAUCCGAGUGACGGUACUUUAUGAGAAAGCCACGGCUAACUACGUGCCAGCACCCGCGGUAAUACGUAGGUGGCAAGCGUUAUCCGGAAUUAUUGGGCGUAAGGAGGGAGCAGGCGGCAGCAAAGGUCUGUGGUGAAAGACUGAGGCUUAAAUGCAGUAAGCAAUAGAAACCGGGCAGCUAGAGUGAAGGAGAGGAUCGUGGAAUUCCAGGUGUAGCGGUGAAAUGCGUAGAUAUAUGGAGGAACACCAGUGGCGAAGGCGACGAUCUGGCCUGCAACUGACGCUCAGUCCCGAAAGCGUGGGGAGCAAAUAGGAUUAGAUACCCUUGUAGUC
Molecule: ribosomal RNA, 464 nt
Filed under: uncultured bacterium
Lineage: Bacteria
Description: partial 16S ribosomal RNA
Rfam family: Bacterial small subunit ribosomal RNA
Source: RNAcentral